This 203-nucleotide long non-coding RNA is filed under the name Mytilus galloprovincialis (Mediterranean mussel). The record is from RNAcentral. Lineage: Eukaryota; Metazoa; Mollusca; Bivalvia; Mytilida; Mytilidae.
CACUAGUGUUCCGUAUUCUUUUUCUCAAAGACUACACAAACUAGGGAAAAACGGGUAGCAGUUCCUGUUACUAGAAAUGCCAGUGUUGCAUUACACCAAAAAAUACCUAGGGUCAUGCGGCUCAAAUUGACUUAAAAUGCAGUUGAAAAAGAUCGUCUAUUUUUUUCGCUUAAUGAAAAAGGCAUAUUUUUAAUGGCUCCGAC